CAUCCAGGCUUAUGUCUAGCACACCAACAUUUUCAUGUUCUGCCUUGUACCUUCUCGAAGAGCAUGGGCCAAUUAUGAACUAAUCCUGCUUUUAUACCAACAAAGAAGACUGUCAGAAAAGGGUUUCACUGGAGAAAUCAAGAACUGGUGGCUACUGAGGACUUUGUAAGAAAAGAGUACUACUAAGAAGUCCAAUAGAAGCAGUGAAAUACCUGCUCCACUUUUUAAACAGACAUCUAUAACAGAAGUUAAAGAAAAAAUAUCACCAACAGAGGAUCAAACUCUGCAGUUUACUCACAUGUGAACCUUGCUAAGGUGGAAGUAUUCUAACAGCGCCUAAAGUAAACAAAAAUUGAGAUUGAGAUAGGAAAAUAAAUGAAAAUUUUCCUCUGGG
This is a long non-coding RNA of Gorilla gorilla gorilla (western lowland gorilla), 394 nucleotides long. RefSeq lists it as uncharacterized. The record is from RefSeq and is a predicted model, not a curated record. Lineage: Eukaryota; Metazoa; Chordata; Mammalia; Primates; Hominidae. The transcript is spliced from 3 exons.